GCGAGUAUGGCCCUCACGGGUCUAAUCCAACCAUAAACACCUUUGUGAACCAGUCAGGGGGACUCGGCCUGUGAAAGCCCAGGCGAUUAUGCGGAAGGGCCCGUCCUUUGCAAACCCGUUUAGAAGUCUUGAAAGGUACUUUUGUAUAAUCUAGUA
RNAcentral lists this unclassified non-coding RNA (156 nucleotides) under soil metagenome. RNAcentral describes it as "partial internal transcribed spacer 1". The record is from RNAcentral.